CGGGGUGCAGCAGGCGCGAAAACUUUACAAUGCGGGAAACCGUGAUAAGGGGACACCGAGUGCCAGCAUCAUAUGCUGGCUGUCCAGGUGUGUAAAAUACACCUGUUAGCAAGGGCCGGGCAAGACCGGUGCCAGCCGCCGCGGUAACACCGGCGGCCCGAGUGGUGAUCGUGAUUAUUGGGUCUAAAGGGUCCGUAGCCGGUUUGGUCAGUCCUCCGGGAAAUCUGACGGCUCAACCGUUAGGCUUUCGGGGGAUACUGCCAGGCUUGGAACCGGGAGAGGUAAGAGGUACUACAGGGGUAGGAGUGAAAUCUUGUAAUCCCUGUGAGACCACCUGUGGCGAAGGCGUCUUACCAGAACGGGUUCGACGGUGAGGGACGAGAGCUGGGGGCACGAACCGGAUUAGAUACCCGGGUAGUCCCAGCCGUAAACGAUGCUCGCUAGGUGUCAGGCAUGGCGCGACCGUGUCUGGUGCCGCAGGGAAGCCGUGAAGCGAGCCACCUGGGAAGUACGGCCGCAAGGCUGAAACUUAAAGGAAUUGGCGGGGGAGCAC
Molecule: ribosomal RNA, 553 nt
Filed under: uncultured archaeon
Lineage: Archaea
Description: bacterial SSU rRNA
Rfam family: Archaeal small subunit ribosomal RNA
Source: RNAcentral